This is a long non-coding RNA of Hylaeus volcanicus, 1082 nucleotides long. RefSeq lists it as uncharacterized. The transcript has 3 exons. NCBI's taxonomy places the organism in Eukaryota, Metazoa, Arthropoda, Insecta, Hymenoptera, Colletidae. The record is from RefSeq and is a predicted model, not a curated record.
GGUGACUGGUACACGAACCAGAAAUGAGUACCGACUGAUCGACCCACUUUUUGUCCUCGGUUUCAUCCUCGAGAGCCGUUUCGGGUACAGGGUCAUGAAUCAUCCGCUUUUCCGUGACCACCUCAGAGAUCUCUUCGAUAAGAAGAAAUGCGUACAAUAAUACCGAACUUAUUAAUAAAUAAAAUGAAAGCGAGUUUCGGUCGUUGUAUGCGAUCAAAGAUUAUUCCAACUAUCGUGGACAUUUAGUAUUUAAUAUUUCAGUACAAAGAAACACAGAUUUCAACGUUGACAAUGGCUAAGUAGCCGAGGUCGAUGUAGCACUAUUUAUGUACAGCUAUUCACAAUACUUGUUUUUGCAUUCAAUAAGCAAUCCAAGUGGUGACCUCCUCUUGCAAUCUGUAAAAGAGCACGUCGCGAUUCACUAUGCCAAGAUCCACCCUAUGGACUGUUGCUGAGGGUUUAAACGAAGGGUAAACCCACCUAUUCAAAGUAAUUCAUUUCUUGGCAACAAUGGCACACUGGUAAAUGGUAAACGCAAUAGAUUUACCUUGACACGACGCAGCAGACGGUCUGGCUGUUCUCCAGUCGUCGAGGAAACGACCUGGCGUCAGAAGUUGAAGUCACUACUGCUCCAUGCGCGUGCAACUCUCGUUUACCUUCGACCUCGGCACUCUCGGUUACCUUGUUCGCGAGGAAUUAAACAAAAAAGACUGGAACCGCUGGCACAACGGGUCCGCGGGAACUUGUCGGUGCGGUAGAAGGUCACACGUCGACUGAGGAGCACCGACGACCGGGUGGCAGAAGGUAGACGACGUGGUGGUGGCGAGAAGUGGUAGGGCCGUGGACGAAAUGGUACAAGAGCAAGAGGAAAUUCCGACGAAAGAAAAAGACGCUUCAGGAAGAUUCUCCCGUAGUCGACGUCACUCUGCACGGAAUGAAAGAAUGGUCAUCGCUUCGUCUUCAAAGAUGUCUUUAUCGUGUGCUUCAUCGAAUACAACGCUAUUUCAGGUUGUCCCUAUGCGUUAGUCGGAAUCAGAUUCUAAUAUCUUCAGUUAAAGUCGAAGGAACAGGGACAAACUUUC